This 921-nucleotide ribosomal RNA is filed under the name Levilactobacillus brevis. RNAcentral describes it as "bacterial SSU rRNA". It matches the Rfam family "Bacterial small subunit ribosomal RNA", at positions 55 to 940 of the family's 1533-position model. Lineage: Bacteria; Bacillati; Bacillota; Bacilli; Lactobacillales; Lactobacillaceae. The record is from RNAcentral.
AUGCAAGUCGAACGAGCUUCCGUUGAAUGACGUGCUUGCACUGAUUUCAACAAUGAAGCGAGUGGCGAACUGGUGAGUAACACGUGGGGAAUCUGCCCAGAAGCAGGGGAUAACACUUGGAAACAGGUGCUAAUACCGUAUAACAACAAAAUCCGCAUGGAUUUUGUUUGAAAGGUGGCUUCGGCUAUCACUUCUGGAUGAUCCCGCGGCGUAUUAGUUAGUUGGUGAGGUAAAGGCCCACCAAGACGAUGAUACGUAGCCGACCUGAGAGGGUAAUCGGCCACAUUGGGACUGAGACACGGCCCAAACUCCUACGGGAGGCAGCAGUAGGGAAUCUUCCACAAUGGACGAAAGUCUGAUGGAGCAAUGCCGCGUGAGUGAAGAAGGGUUUCGGCUCGUAAAACUCUGUUGUUAAAGAAGAACACCUUUGAGAGUAACUGUUCAAGGGUUGACGGUAUUUAACCAGAAAGCCACGGCUAACUACGUGCCAGCAGCCGCGGUAAUACGUAGGUGGCAAGCGUUGUCCGGAUUUAUUGGGCGUAAAGCGAGCGCAGGCGGUUUUUUAAGUCUGAUGUGAAAGCCUUCGGCUUAACCGGAGAAGUGCAUCGGAAACUGAGAGACUUGAGUGCAGAAGAGGACAGUGGAACUCCAUGUGUAGCGGUGGAAUGCGUAGAUAUAUGGAAGAACACCAGUGGCGAAGGCGGCUGUCUAGUCUGUAACUGACGCUGAGGCUCGAAAGCAUGGGUAGCGAACAGGAUUAGAUACCCUGGUAGUCCAUGCCGUAAACGAUGAGUGCUAAGUGUUGGAGGGUUUCCGCCCUUCAGUGCUGCAGCUAACGCAUUAAGCACUCCGCCUGGGGAGUACGACCGCAAGGUUGAAACUCAAAGGAAUUGACGGGGGCCCGCACAAGCGGUGGAGCAU